UGUUCAACUCUUUAACAACAUGAAAAAACCAUUGUUCAACUCUUUGACAACAUGAAAAACCAAAAGCUCUGCCCUCCCUCUCUAUCUAUCCAAGGGAUGGAAGGGCAGAGUCCUUUGGUGU
RNAcentral lists this ribosomal RNA (121 nucleotides) under Phaeostigma variifolium. The record is from RNAcentral. Lineage: Eukaryota; Viridiplantae; Streptophyta; Magnoliopsida; Asterales; Asteraceae.